This is a long non-coding RNA of Phalaenopsis equestris, 476 nucleotides long. RefSeq lists it as uncharacterized. The transcript has 2 exons. Lineage: Eukaryota; Viridiplantae; Streptophyta; Magnoliopsida; Asparagales; Orchidaceae. The record is from RefSeq and is a predicted model, not a curated record.
GCUGUUUCUGUCUUCUUCCAUAUAAUAUACCGAGUCAUUUGUUUGUGAUAAUUGCCUACAACUUGCAGUAUUUCAAGCCUGGUGUACUGUUUGAGAUCCGAGAAUAUUGAGUCUGUAAUGUGCAACGGUCAAUGGAUUUUGAAGGAUAAAAAGAUCUCAAAUCUAGAUGAGGAAGAAGUAUUUUCUUUAGCAAUGAAAGCUUCAAGCGAUAUUAUUAGAAGGGCAGGCAUUGCCCUUCCUCAUAGGUUCAACUUUUUCUAAUGACAUCUGGAACUGAAUGUGCAGUUUUGCACACCAAGGGUUUGUUUCUAAUGUUCGUUUUCCUCUAUUAACUGUAGCAUCAUGCUGGUCUCCCCUUCUCCUUUGUUUUGCAUGUAUGAUCUGUUCGAUUUACUUCAAAUCAAACUAACAAAUAAAAUAAUAUUCAUGUAUUUUCUAUUUUGGGUUUGCUACCAAAUAACUCAUUCAUCUCCUUA